This 560-nucleotide small RNA is filed under the name Arabidopsis thaliana (thale cress). RNAcentral's name for it is "ATSL284910". Lineage: Eukaryota; Viridiplantae; Streptophyta; Magnoliopsida; Brassicales; Brassicaceae. The record is from RNAcentral.
UUUUAUUUUAUUUUUUUAUUCUAUAUCAAAUGAUUAGCCAUCAUUAGUAUAUUAGUAGCAUUGUUGUUAACACCCAGUGUUUUCACGUCCGACCCGGACCGUCCGGUCCGACCGGUUGAACCGUGACCCGAACACUUUUCCGGUUUGGGUUUAGUAUUAAAAUCCAACAAGUUCAAAACCGAAAAAACCCACAAAAACUCAUCAUUAACCCGUGACCCGAUGAACCAGUUGAACUGGCCGGAUGUGGGUUUUAAAAAAUUCUCUUGAUUUUGGAAUAAAAUAUGAGAUUUUAGACUUUAUUCAAUCAAUUUUUAGAUAUUUUUCAGUUCUUAAACCCAUUUGAUGUUUAAGAUUUUGAUGAAGACUUCACAAUGCCGCCUUAAAAAAUGAAUCGAAUGGUGAGUGAGAUAUCCGAUAUUAGUUGUGUGAAUUCACGAUGUUUUAUUAGUUUAUUUCCAUCAUUGCUGAUUUUUUACUAUAUUUGUUACGGUAUUAGACAUUUAGUUGGAUUUAAAAAAUUUCAUCACUUUAUUAUUAUUGUUUGAUUAUAUAUUUAUAUU